Eubalaena glacialis (North Atlantic right whale) is the source of this 170-nucleotide long non-coding RNA. RefSeq lists it as uncharacterized. The record is from RefSeq and is a predicted model, not a curated record. NCBI's taxonomy places the organism in Eukaryota, Metazoa, Chordata, Mammalia, Artiodactyla, Balaenidae. The transcript has 3 exons.
GACCGUCCCCAUGAUUCAGUUCUGGAGGCUGGAGUCCAAGAUCCAGGCGCUGACAGAUCUGGUGUCAGGUGAGGGACCCUUCCUGGUUUGCAGUACUCAUCAACAAGUUUAGAGAAUUUCUCAGUGACAGACCUGCACUACAAGAUGGAAGUUUGGAGCUACACACAGGG